RNAcentral lists this ribosomal RNA (245 nucleotides) under uncultured Myxococcales bacterium. Its description in RNAcentral is "partial 16S ribosomal RNA". It matches the Rfam family "Bacterial small subunit ribosomal RNA", at positions 524 to 768 of the family's 1533-position model. The record is from RNAcentral. Lineage: Bacteria; Pseudomonadati; Myxococcota; Myxococcia; Myxococcales.
UACGGAGGGUGCCAGCGUUAUUCGGAAUCAUUGGGUGUAAAGCGCGUGUAGGCGGUUUGGUAAGUCAGAUGUGAAAGCUCCGGGCUUAACCCGGAAAGUGCAUUUGAAACUACCAGACUUGAGUCCCGGAGAGGAAGGUGGAAUUCCCAGUGUAGAGGUGAAAUUCGUAGAUAUUGGGAGGAACACCGGUGGCGAAGGCGACCUUCUGGACGGUGACUGACGCUGAGACGCGAAAGCGUGGGGAG